AGCUCCAAUAGCGUAUAUUAAAGUUGUUGCGGUUAAAAAGCUCGUAGUUGGAUUUCUGCCAAGGACUGCUGUUCCCCGAUUAGGGUGAUACGGUUUGGCCGAGGCAUCCUUUUGAAUUACGUGGCUGCACUUAAUUGAGUGGCUCGGAUUUCAAAACUUUUACUUUGAGGAAAUUAGAGUGUUUCAAGCAGGCUUCUGCCUUGAAUACAUUAGCAUGGAAUAAUAAGAUAGGACUUCGGUUCUAUUUUGUUGGUUUCUAGAACUGAAGUAAUGAUUAAUAGGGACAGUCGGGGGCAUUCGUACUUAACUGUCAGAGGUGAAAUUCUUGGAUUUGUUAAAGACGAACUACUGCGAAAGCAUUUGCCAAGGAUGUUUUCAUUG
RNAcentral lists this ribosomal RNA (381 nucleotides) under Amphidinium sp. RNAcentral's name for it is "partial small subunit ribosomal RNA". It matches the Rfam family "Eukaryotic small subunit ribosomal RNA", at positions 587 to 975 of the family's 1831-position model. The record is from RNAcentral. Lineage: Eukaryota; Dinophyceae; Amphidiniales; Amphidiniaceae.